AGAUUGGCUCACUGGGUGUAAAGCGUGCGCAGGCGGUUUUGUAAGACAGAGGUGAAAUCCCCGGGCUCAACCUGGGAACUGCCUUUGUGACUGCAAGGCUGGAGUGCGGCAGAGGGGGAUGGAAUUCCGCGUGUAGCAGUGAAAUGCGUAGAUAUGCGGAGGAACACCGAUGGCGAAGGCAAUCCCCUGGGCCUGCACUGACGCUCAUGCACGAAAGCGUGGGGAGCAAACA
Molecule: ribosomal RNA, 232 nt
Filed under: uncultured Alicycliphilus sp.
Lineage: Bacteria; Pseudomonadati; Pseudomonadota; Betaproteobacteria; Burkholderiales; Comamonadaceae
Description: partial 16S ribosomal RNA
Rfam family: Bacterial small subunit ribosomal RNA
Source: RNAcentral